Molecule: long non-coding RNA, 3816 nt
Organism: Pogona vitticeps (central bearded dragon)
Lineage: Eukaryota; Metazoa; Chordata; Lepidosauria; Squamata; Agamidae
Source: Ensembl
CGAAGCAGGCGAUGCGCAGCGUGCCGUAGAGCACCUUGAGCAGCCCGUUCAUGCCCGGGUGGUCGUGGAGCGGGAUGCAGGCGCCGGCGCGCAGCACGAAGACGCCCAUGCUGAAGCUCUCCGUCUCGCAGAUGUGCAUGUAGCUCACGGGCGGCUGCACCGGUCCCGGCACCGCCGACGGACCCCGCGGGACCAGGCGCAGGUCCUCGGCCCGCACCUCGUUCAGCAGCUGCUGCAGGCGCUGCAGGUUCUCCACGAAGCGCGGCCCGCCGUUGCCUCCGGCUCCGCUGCCGCCGCCGCCUCCGGCGCUGCUGUUGUUAUUCGCACCCGGAGGGCGGAACGUGACGCGGGCCUGCCGGGCCACCCGUUGAAUCAGGGAGGCCAUGUUGUCCCGGGGCAUCGUGCCGCCGCCGCCGCCGCCUCCCAGCCGAAGAGGAUGCGGGCUUCUGCGCAGGCGCCGCCUGGCCGCCUGCCCUCCCCUCUUCCGCCCCUCUCCCCUCCCGGGUAUCCGUUGCAUUGUGGGGCUUGUAGUGCCCUUUCCACUCCUCCAGCGCGCUCUGUUGGCCUUGUGUGUUCUCGGUUACACCACCGCCGGCAGCGCAAAGACGCCGUGAACAGCAUGACUGAAGCUGUCAAGUCGCAGCUGCUUGGCGAGGGAGAAUUUUCGCGGUUCUGCAGCCUCUCUUGAAGAAUAUCCUGCAAAAUAACAUCCCCCAUCCCAGUUUGGAAAACCAGGAAAGGGGAUGGGAGAUUCGUGAUGCUAUUCAACUUCUAAAUUGAUAUUUGUUAAUAGCGUCGAAAGAAGCCAUGAUCUUUCCUCUGACUUCCUCCCAUCAUCUUCGUCUGCAUACUUCUAUGGACUAGCACCGUAAUGUAUCCGGUAUUAACUGGGGCAAAGUUUCUCCACCCAUAUGUUUUCUCUGUUGGAGAAGUCAGCACCUCCAGUAUAUUCUGUGAAACCCCUCUGCUGAUUUCCACUUCCAUCCUUAGAAAGAUCUUUAGCAUCUAGAGUUUAAUCCUGGAUGAACAAGCUGACCUGGCUUGUGUGAUCAUAAUCUGACUAAGCAGGUCCAUAGUUGGCACCUAGACAGGUAGCAUUCAUAUGCCUGCACAGCUGACAGCUGGGUGGUGGUUUACUGAUGUGCAAAUGCUCCCUACAUAAAAGGCAGUGGCUCCAUUUAAAGGGAUAACUAGCCAUUGGCAGCCUACAUGGCUUUGUUUCUUUCCUUGCGUGCUCAUCACCACUUUUAAAAUUGGGCUCCCAACGUAAGGGAGGUGGAUGCUUAUAAAACUGACCAGAUGCCCAGUCUUAACAUGUGGUUGUUUGCUUCACUUUAAGUCCUGUGUGAAUAUGGCCUGAAUUGUAACUGGUCAGACUUCAAACUUGUAGAGGUGAUUUACCUGUCCUUCUACCUGGGCGGGGGGAGCGGGGGGCGGAUGAGGUUUUCUUUGAAGUUCCCUCCAUGGUUGCUUAAGGGGCACAUUUCUGGGUGUUGCAUCAGCAAACAUGAAGAUGUAUAACCAUCUCCUCUUGAAAAAGGUGAUAUACAGUCAAACAGUACAGUAACCUAUAUUUGGGGGAAAAAAAGAGAUACAUAUGAAAUAGGUUUGAUGAGGAAUCAAUAUAUCUGUCACUUAUUUUACAGGGCAGAAUCAGAUACGUAAUACUUUCAGAUGGAUGGCUCCUAGUCAGCCCAAUCAAAAGUUAUUGUACAGCAACAUGGAGAAGAUGGAAUAAGCAAUUUAAAAAAAUUAAUUAGGCUAAAUUAAGUUAAAAUUAAUUUAAUAGAUUUUUAUAUAAUUAGGUGAGGAAAGUGCCUGUGUAGCCAGGAGAAGAAGAAGGGAUGGAGAUGUUCAUGGCAACCCCAGUUCCUACAGCCAGCAACUGUCUUGUAGAAUUUGCAGUCCAUGGCAUCUGGAAAAUGUCAGGAAACCAUGGUAAGCAAUAUUUUAAAAAGCCAUCUCUGAAGGACCAAACGACAAAAUAUCAAUUAGCAGGACAGUGAUUCGCACAGUAAUAUAAAGCCAUUUUCUCUUACGGAUUCCUUUAAAAAUAAUAACAGCAUGUUUCCUUUCAUCUUUAAUGUAAUGAGUUGAAAACUUUACCCAUUAAUCUUAACUGAAAUUUAAUUAAGCUAUGGGGUCUUCCAACAAAAAUUUAGCCAAUGAGCACUUCUCUACUAAUGCCCAAUGACUGCUUUUUCCUCUCCUGUGCGCAUUUUCUGCAGUUAGAAAGAUGAAGCAAUGGAAGAGCACAGAUGAAUUACAAACAGAAGAUCGUGACCUCUGGACCCCCCUAAAAUUCCAUGAAUGAAGCAGGGCAACUGUACAUCACAGACUCAUCUGGAAGCACUAAUAAUGCCUCAAGGGUUGUGAGGCCAGAGACCGAGAGCCAUUAAAUGCCUAUUUUUAUCUUCUGCUGUUACAAAUGUGUUCUUCCUGUUUGCUUUUCAAAAAAAAAAUCUACCUUCUCAAUGAAAUGUGCAGUACUUCUUUUUCUUCUUCCUCAGCCUGAUUUUUUCCCCAUUAACUGCAUUAAUAUGUUUGGGUUUUGCUCCUGUAAUUUCCUACCAGUGAAUUGGUGAUAUGAAUAGGCUACACGUUAGCUGUCUGUCUUGCGGCUGGAGAAAUUAAACACAUUCUUGUAAUGGAAAGAAGUUCAACGUAAAAAAGAAAAAAAGAAAAAGAAAAAAAAGAACUUCUCCCCAGCAGCGAAAAGUGGAAGGAAGUGACUACUGGGAUGACAGUGUUACAUUUUCUAAAUGGGUAACUUCUCAAUAAUAAUAAUAAUACUAAAAAACAUUCUCACUCUUUGUAUGUGUGUACAAUUCCACCCCACCCCACCCCACUUGGUUUAUUAUUGGAUGAAGCUAACUGUAGGGUUACACUGCAUGUUUUCCUCCCAUCACACACAGGGAAUCUAGACAGGCAUCCUUGUCUCUCUUUCAUCAGUUUUAGCCUCCUCCUCCUCAUGGCACAUCCUUGCAAUUGCAUUCUUCCCCUCUAAAAGGUCUGCACCUUUCCUUCCCCAGGACUGUUCUUUUUGUGAGAUCUUUGGUGACCAUCAAGCCACAAAGCCAAUGGCUACCAAUGCUGAGUUCCUGGACCCUGUGGCAGGGAAACUGAGCCGUAGAUGUUGAGGUAGGGAAGAAUGAGUUAGGGAAUCAAGAAAUGGAGAAUAUUGCCUGAAAAGCAGUAAAUGGUUCCCCAUUCAACCAUGGCUUGCAGAUAUGAUGCAGUUAGAAGAGAAAAUACCAGCAAGUUUGGAAGGAUCAGAGAUCAAACUAUAAAGGGAACUAGGAGUAGGAGUGAUACCACUGCAGGUUGAAGAUGAUGCCCUUGGAAUGGAGGGAAACGCCUACUGCUGCUUUGUCGUCAGUGACAAAACAACAGACAGCCACUCCUGCAAGAGUACAUGCUGGCGUAUAUCAGGAUGGAAAUCCAGCCAUAGAAUGCUGGUGCAGGACCUUGUGCAAUACUUUUUCUUCCUGGUUUCACAGUGGUCUAUGAACAUCUCUCUUGAGCCCAGCUAAUCAUAAAUUUUGGAACAAGAUGAGAUCUGCAUGGUUUGGAUCCUCUUUCAAUAUGGCAGCAGGAAGUGUGAUAUUUUCCCUCUGCAGUUUCCCUCAGUGACAGCCACUGAAGUGGAGGAUGGAGGAAAUAUGCAGUGUAGUGAUAUCAUACAUUGCCAUUUUGCUUUACUAAGCACAAUUGAGGCACAGGAAGAACUAUGGUGGUAGUGGUUGCAGUGGUCGGGUUGCUUGUGAUACUCAGUUCAGAAAUAAAACACUUCUGGACUACUGAGCGGAAUCUUAC